RNAcentral lists this ribosomal RNA (449 nucleotides) under uncultured bacterium. Its description in RNAcentral is "bacterial SSU rRNA". It matches the Rfam family "Bacterial small subunit ribosomal RNA", at positions 329 to 795 of the family's 1533-position model. The record is from RNAcentral.
GCCCAGACUCCUACGGGAGGCAGCAGUGGGGAAUAUUGCACAAUGGGGGAAACCCUGAUGCAGCGACGCCGCGUGGAGGAAGAAGGUCUUCGGAUUGUAAACUCCUGUCCUUGGGGACGAUAAUGACGGUACCCAAGGAGGAAGCACCGGCUAAAUACGUGCCAGCAGCCGCGGUAAUACGUAUGGUGCAAGCGUUAUCCGGAUUUACUGGGUGUAAAGGGAGCGCAGGCGGCGCGUUAAGCCUGGUGUGAAAGCCCGCGGCCCAACCGCGGGACUGCAUUGGGAACUGGCGCGCUGGAGUGCCGGAGGGGUAGGCGGAAUCCCUAGUGUAGCGGUGAAAUGCGUAGAUAUUAGGAGGAACACCAGUGGCGAAGGCGGCCUACUGGACGGUGACUGACGCUGAGGCUCGAAAGCGUGGGGAGCAAACAGGAUUAGAUACCCCGGUAGUC